AUCUUUUCGUGUUUCAUUAGUGUGAUGAUUGAGGGUCUUCAUGCUCAUGUGUGAGAUGUGGCCCCCUCAGACCUUGUUACAUCACAUUACCUGUCUGAUG
Small nucleolar RNA from Lemur catta (Ring-tailed lemur), 100 nucleotides. RefSeq annotates it as small nucleolar RNA U13. Lineage: Eukaryota; Metazoa; Chordata; Mammalia; Primates; Lemuridae. The record is from RefSeq and is a predicted model, not a curated record. The transcript has a single exon.